AGACAGCGCUAUCGCGCUUCCUCAGCCCGAACGGCAUCGAAGUAACGACUGGCUCAAACAACUUUCUUAUCCAUAACUCACG
RNAcentral lists this non-coding RNA (82 nucleotides) under Legionella shakespearei DSM 23087. RNAcentral's name for it is "Legionella RNA 69". It matches the Rfam family "Legionella RNA 69". The record is from Rfam by way of RNAcentral. Lineage: Bacteria; Pseudomonadati; Pseudomonadota; Gammaproteobacteria; Legionellales; Legionellaceae.